GUCUACGGCCAUGGUAUCUUGAACGCACCCAAUCCCAUCUGAUCUUGGAAGCUAAGCAGAGUUGGACCUGCUUGGUACUUGGAAGGGAGAAAUCACAAGGUGAAAUGGUGUCCUCCCCA
This 119-nucleotide ribosomal RNA is filed under the name Octodon degus (degu). Lineage: Eukaryota; Metazoa; Chordata; Mammalia; Rodentia; Octodontidae. The record is from RNAcentral.